UCUUCACACACGCGGCAUGGCUGGAUCAGGCUUCGCCCAUUGUCCAAUAUUCCCCACUGCUGCCUCCCGUAGGAGUCUGGACCGUGUCUCAGUUCCAGUGUGACUGAUCAUCCUCUCAGACCAGUUACGGAUCGUCGCCUUGGUAGGCCUUUACCCCACCAACUAGCUAAUCCGACCUAGGCUCAUCUGAUAGCGUGAGGUCCGAAGAUCCCCCACUUUCUCCCUCAGGACGUAUGCGGUAUUAGCGCCCGUUUCCGGACGUUAUCCCCCACUACCAGGCAGAUUCCUAGGCAUUACUCACCCGUCCGCCGCUGAAUCCAGGAGCAAGCUCCCUUCAUCCGCUCGACUUGCAUGUGUUAGGCCUGCCGCCAGCGUUCAAUCUGAGCCAGGAUCAAACCCUU
RNAcentral lists this ribosomal RNA (401 nucleotides) under uncultured bacterium. RNAcentral's name for it is "partial 16S ribosomal RNA". The record is from RNAcentral.